This 255-nucleotide ribosomal RNA is filed under the name uncultured bacterium. Its description in RNAcentral is "partial 16S ribosomal RNA". It matches the Rfam family "Bacterial small subunit ribosomal RNA", at positions 524 to 778 of the family's 1533-position model. The record is from RNAcentral.
UACGAAGGGGGCUAGCGUUGCUCGGAAUUACUGGGCGUAAAGGGAGCGUAGGCGGAUAUUUAAGUCGGGGGUGAAAGCCCAGGGCUCAACCCUGGAAUUGCCUUCGAUACUGGAUAUCUAGAGUAUGGGAGAGGUGUGUGGAACUCCGAGUGUAGAGGUGAAAUUCGUAGAUAUUCGGAAGAACACCAGUGGCGAAGGCGACACACUGGCCCAUUACUGACGCUGAGGCUCGAAAGCGUGGGGAGCAAACAGGGA